Molecule: ribosomal RNA, 433 nt
Filed under: uncultured bacterium
Lineage: Bacteria
Description: partial 16S ribosomal RNA
Rfam family: Bacterial small subunit ribosomal RNA
Source: RNAcentral
AACGAACGCUGGCGGGAGGAGGAACACAGGCAAGUCGAGCGGACCCUUCGGGGUUAGCGGCGGACGGGUGAGUAACGCGUGGGAAUAUGCCCUUCUCUACGGAAUAGUCCUGGGAAACUGGGGGUAAUACCGUAUACGCCCUUUGGGGGAAAGAUUUAUCGGGGAAGGAUUAGCCCGCGUUGGAUUAGGUAGUUGGUGGGGUAAUGGCCUACCAAGCCGACGAUCCAUAGCUGGUUUGAGAGGAUGAUCAGCCACACUGGGACUGAGACACGGCCCAGACUCCUACGGGAGGCAGCAGUGGGGAAUCUUAGACAAUGGGGGCAACCCUGAUCUAGCCAUGCCGCGUGAGUGAUGCAGGCCUUAGGGUUGUAAAGCUCUUUCAGCUGGGAAGAUAAUGACGGUACCAGCAGAAGAAGCCCCGGCUAACUCCGUG